This 329-nucleotide ribosomal RNA is filed under the name uncultured eukaryote. Its description in RNAcentral is "partial 18S ribosomal RNA". It matches the Rfam family "Eukaryotic small subunit ribosomal RNA", at positions 1470 to 1796 of the family's 1831-position model. The record is from RNAcentral.
CCCUUAGAUGUUCUGGGCCGCACGCGCGCUACACUGAUGCAUUCAACGAGUCUAAAACCUGGUCUGAGAGGGCUGGGUAAUCUUUUGAAAGUGCAUCGUGAUUGGGAUAGAUGAUUGCAAUUCUUCAUCUUCAACGAGGAAUGCCUAGUAAACGCAAGUCAUCAGCUUGCAUUGCUUACGUCCCUGCCCUUUGUACACACCGCCCGUCGCUCCUACCGAUUGAACGAUCCGAUGAAAACUGUGGAUUGAGAGUCUGAGUGGGUUCGCCUACCUCAACUUUCGAGAAGCGGUUUAAAUCUUAUCGUUUAGAGGAAGGAGAAGUCGUAACA